UCCGAAUUGGUGUAGGGGUUAACAUUGCCGCCUCUCAGGAAAUUUAGGUUUAUACAAACCUACCACGUGACUGGUCGCGGCAGCCCGGGGUUCGAUUCCCCGAUUCGGAA
This is a non-coding RNA of Mycena albidolilacea, 110 nucleotides long. The record is from the annotation of a GenBank genome assembly. Lineage: Eukaryota; Fungi; Basidiomycota; Agaricomycetes; Agaricales; Mycenaceae.